RNAcentral lists this ribosomal RNA (382 nucleotides) under uncultured eukaryote. RNAcentral describes it as "partial 18S ribosomal RNA". It matches the Rfam family "Eukaryotic small subunit ribosomal RNA", at positions 592 to 976 of the family's 1831-position model. The record is from RNAcentral.
UGUAAGCGUAUACCAAAGUUGUUGCAGUUAAAACGCUCGUAGUCGGAAUUUGGCAGUUCCGGAUGUGUGCACGUCGUGUGCGCACUUCGCGGGGAUUGCUUUUGUGGUCUUGCGUAGGAUGAGGCACUUUUAUUAGUGAACGUCCUCACGCAACCACUUUUUACUGUGAGAAAAUCAGAGUGCUCAAAGCAGGCAUUUGCCGUGAAUGUAUUAGCAUGGAAUAAUAGAAUAGGACUUGGUUCUAUUUUGUUGGUUUGUUGGGACUGAGUGAUGAUUAAGAGGGACAGUUGGGGGCAUUUGUAUUUCGGUGCUAGAGGUGAAAUUCUUAGAUUACCGAAAGACAAACUGCUGCGAAAGCGUCUGCCAAGGAUGUUUUCAUUGA